UGGGCUGACUCACUAAAACUCAGCAACUUAAAAAGCCUUGCCCUGCAGGCUCCAAAAGGCCCUUUAAAGUGCCACAUUUCAGUGCAUCUCAGCCAUUCUGCUUCAUGAUGUUUUGGAUUAAACUUUUCCUUUCAAGGAAGAAGCAGGGGGAAUUUUAUUUGCAUUCUCUGGAGCUACUGAGGUAAGAAAAAGGAAAGGCUCAUAAAGGGACUGCAAUAAGUCUGCUGGAGAUGUCUUUGCAGACUCUUUCUCCUCCCCAGAUUGGAAUGCGCUUAAGCUCCUUUGGUCUGCUUAUUUCUUUUCCCUGGCAGCCCUUGGGGCAGAGUUUCUCAACUGUGUCCCUUCCCCUGAGCCCCAUUUUGAAGCGGCAUCAAGAAGACUUUACGAGCUGAUGUAAAUCAACAGCUGCAUGGACCAGCAGGGUGACUGCUUAAAAAAGAUGUAUUGACCACAGUGCAAAAUAAAAGAUGAAUCUGAA
Molecule: long non-coding RNA, 478 nt
Organism: Alligator sinensis (Chinese alligator)
Lineage: Eukaryota; Metazoa; Chordata; Crocodylia; Alligatoridae
Exons: 3
Source: RefSeq, a predicted model, not a curated record